RNAcentral lists this ribosomal RNA (253 nucleotides) under uncultured bacterium. Its description in RNAcentral is "partial 16S ribosomal RNA". It matches the Rfam family "Bacterial small subunit ribosomal RNA", at positions 524 to 776 of the family's 1533-position model. The record is from RNAcentral.
UACGGGGGGGGUAAGCGUUGUUCGGAAUUACUGGGCGUAAAGGGCUCGUAGGCGGCCAACUAAGUCAGACGUGAAAUCCCUCAGCUUAACUGAGGAACUGCGUCUGAUACUGGAUGGCUUGGAUCCGGAAGAGGGAUGCGGAAUUCCAGGUGUAGCGGUGAAAUGCGUAGAUAUCUGGAGGAACACCGGUGGCGAAGGCGGCAUCCUGGGCCGGUAUUGACGCUGAGGAGCGAAAGCCAGGGGAGCAAACGGG